GUGUGCUCCUCAUCUUUAGAUGCCAUCUGAAUCUGAUUGUAGCUUGCAAAGGCAUUCAUAAAGCUCAAAAAUCGAUGUCUCGAAGUCGCAUCAACUAGUUGGUCGAUCUUUGACAAGAAAAAACUAUCCUUCUGACAAGCUUCAUUUAGAUUUGUGUAGUCAAUGCAGCUUCUUUAUUUUUUAUUAGCUUUUUUCACCAUCACUACAUUGACGAGCC
RNAcentral lists this long non-coding RNA (217 nucleotides) under Elaeis guineensis (African oil palm). RNAcentral's name for it is "long non-coding RNA (EGUI_LNC070950)". Lineage: Eukaryota; Viridiplantae; Streptophyta; Magnoliopsida; Arecales; Arecaceae. The record is from RNAcentral.